This is a long non-coding RNA of Felis catus (domestic cat), 1918 nucleotides long. RefSeq lists it as uncharacterized. The record is from RefSeq and is a predicted model, not a curated record. NCBI's taxonomy places the organism in Eukaryota, Metazoa, Chordata, Mammalia, Carnivora, Felidae. The transcript is spliced from 4 exons.
CAGCCUGGUCGUAUGAGGGAGAGGAAGGGGGAGGGGGAGGGGGACAAAGCAUCAGGUAAGCCUCUGAGCCCCUCAGAAGGAACCCAGUCCUUGGGUCGGCUGGAGGGCACUCAGAGCCAGAGGCCAGCUUCAAUUCCAUAGCCAUCAGCAGGACCAGACAGACUUCCGCAAGCUGCCUGUCCCUGCCCACGGGGUUGAAGAGGGAAGGAAAGAGCAUCAGAGCAUCACCUACCAACCCCUCAGCAUCCACAGAUUGGCAGGAUUUCCUCUGCAGCAGGAGGGAGGAGGGCUGGACAAGAGGAAGGACUGUCCCUCUCCCUCCAGAGCGAGUCGGCGUAGGAGGAGAAGUCAGAGUUGGCGUCCUUCUCGGCCAGAUAGACCAGGAAGGAGGCAAAGAUGAGCACCAGGAAUCCGAUGUACCAGGCGGUGAUCAGCUCCUGCGGUGACAGCAAAGAUGAAAACGUCAGGAGGGCCGAGCCAGAGGGGUAUAAGGAAGCGCCUAAUACUGUGCGUACCUGGGAGAGGGGGGCAGGUGGGAGUUUCCCAGAAUGACCCCGAGAGGUGUUCUGGAGGGGGGAUAAAGGCGCCCCACCGCUUCGAGUUGCCUGGGGGCGGCUGCCCAUCUUUCCUUCCCAGCUCCUCCUUCCGGGGAGACCCUGCCCCGCCUUCCCGACCUCAGGGUACGCCCCCCGCCCCGCCCUUGACCCCCCACCCCCAGGUUCCAGGUUCAGACUUCAGUCCCCAGGCCCACCGCCCCUCAACACCCCACACACCCCAACAUCCAGUCCCCCCCACCCGCCCCAGCUCCCCACUUUGCUGUGCACACAGACUCACCUAACCAGAAGCUUCCGACUGAGCCCCUCAACGCCUUACCCCUCAAGCCCCUCCUCCUGGCCUGCACCUGCCCUCCCCCGGCAGACUGGCCCUUGCCGGGCCUCAGAGAUCGGCCCCUGUGGCCUGGCCCCCGCCGGGCCCACAGUCUCCCCAACCCUGGGGCUGGACUCGGGCCCCGCCCCACCCCCCACCUCCGGCCCCGGGAGACGUCCCGCCGGCGCACCUUGCUGUGCGCGUAGACCACGGAGCCCAGCAGCUUCCAGGUGCCGCCGCGGCGGUCCAUGCGCACCAUGCGGAGGAUCUGCAGGAAGCGCAUGCUGCGCAGCGCAGACGUGGCGAAGAUGUUGCCCUGCGUGCCCGCGGCGAUGACGGCCACCGAGGCCACGAACACGAUGAAGUCUGCAGGGGCAGGACAGGCGAGCUCACCAAGCCACCGUGCAUCAGGACCCGCGGAGCGAGGGCCCAGGUCACACAGCACCGGCCCAGCCCGGAGUCCUUGGGUUAGGGGUACCAGGAUUUCCUCAGACCACCUCUCCUGGACGUUCUCACACCUGGCUGGACCCGAGGAGAAUUCCAGAAGGCACGUGGCGCCUUCCACAGACUGAAAGCCCCAGUCUGUCUUCCAUUUCCUGUCCACCAGCUGUCUGGCUUUUUCUGAGCUUCACUCUGCCCUCCCCCUCCCAGCUAUCCCAGACUCAGUAACCCUGACUGGGUGACCUAAGGGGUGGCUAUCUGUUAGCUGUCCACUUCCAAGGUGCUUCUGUUUAGAGAGAGAGAGAGAGAGAGAAACAAAAAAUCACACCAGAGGUUGAGUUAGCAGUUUUGGUCCUGAGAAGGAGUAGGGCUUUUUCAACCUCUUCUCUGAGCCCAACAUCAGCCCUGGCUUAGCGGCAGGAGGUCCCUCAACACUUGCUCUAAAGCAGAUGAAGUCCAGAGAGGGGCAGCCAUCAACUCAGGGAACACAGCAUAGCAAGCCACUCUCUGAGCCACAGUAGGAGAAGCCUCUCUGUCCCUCUACCCUGAACCCCAAGGUGCUACCUUACACAGCCUCGCUCAGACCCGGACUCUGGCACUCACCAAGAUG